CUGCAAUAUCCCCACAAGGGCCUGACUGAGCGAGCGAGCAUGGACGGCCGCGGGGCUUUCUGGACAGUGGCCAUUCCCAGAGCCAGGCAGGAAGGCCUCGGGAGGCUGGGGCUCCCGUUCCCGGUGAAGCGGACGCCGCCAGCGCCCCAGAACCCAGGAGGAAGCACACAGGCCCCACAGAGAGUGGUUGGCAAGAGUCACUCGGGGAUUAGGAUGCCGGCCAAAUCGCGGAAUUUGAGGCUGGAAUCCAAGCUCAACAGGACUGCUGUGUGUGAAGCACUCAAGAGGGCCCCUACAACCAACCUGCCAGGAGUCGGCUCCUGAAAACAGGGUCGGAAAAGGGGUCUGGCACUCUUCCUCAUGCUUACGAGAUGGCUGCUGGAAUUCCAGGAAUCACAUGCAAAUUCUAGUCAGGAGCAAAGAGGAAGAGACACAGUGAAAAGGGGUAUACAGCGGCAGAAGGAAGCUCCUCAAAUGAACUCUGCUAGAACUCUAGCCAGUAGCUUCUCCUUCUAUCACAGUGGCCAGAACUGUGACAAGUGACCAUCCUUAGGGGAAAAAAGAUGCUGAGAAAUGUGAAUUUUGUUGCCACCUUACAUUUUCAAAGGAGUUCCAUUCGUAAGUACAGAACGCUCAGAGAAGAGGCAGCAGAUCUAGGAUAUGGAGCAGCAGCUCUUAAGGGCACAGUGGGAAGGUUUCAAGACUGAGGAGGAUCUUGGAUUUGGGUAGGGGAAGGCAGUUCACAGUAUUGUGGAGGAAAUGCUGUGAAAGAGAAAGUGGAAGGCAUGGAAGCUUAAACUUUUAAUAUGACUGGUGAAUACAAGGAUGAAGGGCAAAGGGAAUUCAGACUCAUGGUGGUCAGAUUAAGACCUUCAGCGGCUCUGUCUCCCAGCCCCACAUACCCACUUCCAUGUUCUGCUCUUUACUGAAGCUGAAAGUCUGCAACCUUCAUUCUCUGACUCCCUUACAUUUUCUUAGGCUUCUUGCUAGCUUCUGCCAAAAAGAGGCCCUGGCAGGAGAUUAGAUGGCAGGAGGCAGAGGUAAGGAUUCCAUGUUAACAGGUGCUGGAAGUUGCUGGUGUGGCAAUGAGAACUGGGCCCCGGUCAAGGCAGCACUACUUUGGUAGAUCCAGAAUCAACCAUGAUAACCGUGACAGUGUCUUCAACAGUGCAGCAGUAGACACAGGCCCCUGGUGCUGGAAUCCAAUACAGGGACAGGAGCAGCACGGAGUCACGGAACACCGUCUUGCCUUCAUGUCACUUUACCAUUUCUUCUUUCUCCCUCUUACUCUACCAGCUACCUGUGGAGAUGUUGAACCUUUUAUCUGUCGCUGUCUGCUUAGGAACAGAAGAAAAGGCAGCUGAUUGCUUGACUCAGCUUUCAGCUUGAUUUUUUUCCUUUGGCAGAGUGAAUUGGGGUCCCAGGUGUUCAUUUUCCUUUUGUAGUACCUUUCCUCAGCAUGCAAUUAAUACAAAAAGAACAAUAAACCUUAACAAAGUUUGGCUUGUAUU
This 1511-nucleotide long non-coding RNA is filed under the name Homo sapiens (human). RNAcentral describes it as "non-protein coding SPATA41:18". Lineage: Eukaryota; Metazoa; Chordata; Mammalia; Primates; Hominidae. The record is from RNAcentral.